Calidris pygmaea (Spoon-billed sandpiper) is the source of this 130-nucleotide small nuclear RNA. NCBI's taxonomy places the organism in Eukaryota, Metazoa, Chordata, Aves, Charadriiformes, Scolopacidae. The record is from Ensembl.
AAAAAGGGCUUCUGCCGUGCGUGGCACGGGGGGGCCGCGCGGCCGCCCCCGCGGAAUCGACAUCAAGAGAUUUCGGAAGCACAAUUUUUGCGGUGGGGGGAGGCCGGUAACCGCUCGUUCCGGCGCCCCG